RNAcentral lists this ribosomal RNA (121 nucleotides) under Pteropus alecto (black flying fox). The record is from RNAcentral. Lineage: Eukaryota; Metazoa; Chordata; Mammalia; Chiroptera; Pteropodidae.
GUCUACGUCCACGGGCUACCCUGAAUAAGCCCGAUCCCAUCUGAUCUCGGAAGCUAAGCAGGGUCGGGCCUGGUUAGCACUUGGAUGGGAGACCACCUAAGAAGACCAGGUGCUGUAGGCA